RNAcentral lists this ribosomal RNA (200 nucleotides) under uncultured bacterium. RNAcentral's name for it is "partial 16S ribosomal RNA". It matches the Rfam family "Bacterial small subunit ribosomal RNA", at positions 1301 to 1500 of the family's 1533-position model. The record is from RNAcentral.
CAGGCUGCAACUCGCCUGCAUGAAGUCGGAAUUGUUAGUAAUCGUAGGUCAGCAUACUACGGUGAAUACGUUCCCGGGCCUUGUACACACCGCCCGUCAAACCAUGAGAGUUGGCAACACCCGAAGUCGGUAGUCUAACCGCAAGGAGGACGCCGCCGAAGGUGGGGUUGAUGAUUAGGGUUAAGUCGUAACAAGGUAAC